RNAcentral lists this ribosomal RNA (1033 nucleotides) under Lipomyces kononenkoae. RNAcentral's name for it is "SSU rRNA". It matches the Rfam family "Eukaryotic small subunit ribosomal RNA", at positions 72 to 1107 of the family's 1831-position model. Lineage: Eukaryota; Fungi; Ascomycota; Lipomycetes; Lipomycetales; Lipomycetaceae. The record is from RNAcentral.
AUUUAUACAGUGAAACUGCGAAUGGCUCAUUAAAUCAGUUAUCGUUUAUUUGAUAGUACCUUACUACUUGGAUAACCGUGGUAAUUCUAGAGCUAAUACAUGCUAAAAAUCCCGACUUUUUGGAAGGGAUGUAUUUAUUAGAUAAAAGACCAAUGCUUCUUCGGAAGUUCUUUGGUGAUUCAUGAUAACUUUUCGAAUCGCAUGGCCUCGAGCCGGCGAUGGUUCAUUCAAAUUUCUGCCCUAUCAACUUUCGAUGGUAGGAUAGUGGCCUACCAUGGUUUCAACGGGUAACGGGGAAUUAGGGUUCGAUUCCGGAGAGGGAGCCUGAGAAACGGCUACCACAUCCAAGGAAGGCAGCAGGCACGCAAAUUACCCAAUCCCGACACGGGGAGGUAGUGACAAUAAAUAACAAUACAGGGCUUUUUAUGGUCUUGUGAUUGGAAUGAGUACAAUUUAAAUACCUUAACGAGGAACAAUUGGAGGGCAAGUCUGGUGCCAGCAGCCGCGGUAAUUCCAGCUCCAAUAGCGUAUAUUAAAGUUGUUGCAGUUAAAAAGCUCGUAGUUGAACUUUGGGCUUGGUCGGCCGGUCCGCCUCAUUGGUGUGCACUGACCCGACCGAGCCUUUCCUUCUGGAUAACUAUAGUGCUUUUUAUUAAGUGCUAUAGGGAGCCAGGACUUUUACUUUGAAAAAAUUAGAGUGUUCAAAGCAGGCAUACGCUCGAAUAUAUUAGCAUGGAAUAAUAGAAUAGGACGUACGGUUCUAUUUUGUUGGUUCUCUAGGACCGUCGUAAUGAUUAAUAGGGACAGUCGGGGGCAUCAGUAUUCAAUUGUCAGAGGUGAAAUUCUUGGAUUUAUUGAAGACUAACUACUGCGAAAGCAUUUGCCAAGGAUGUUUUCAUUAAUCAAGAACGAAAGUUAGGGGAUCGAAGACGAUCAGAUACCGUCGUAGUCUUAACCAUAAACUAUGCCGACUAGGGAUCGGGCGGUGUUCUUUUUUUGACCCGCUCGGCACCUUACGAGAAAUCAAAGUCUU